Panicum virgatum (switchgrass) is the source of this 121-nucleotide small nuclear RNA. RefSeq annotates it as U5 spliceosomal RNA. The transcript has a single exon. NCBI's taxonomy places the organism in Eukaryota, Viridiplantae, Streptophyta, Magnoliopsida, Poales, Poaceae. The record is from RefSeq and is a predicted model, not a curated record.
AGCUGCGCGGUGCGCACAGAGCGAACUAUUCUUUCGCCUUUUACUAAAGAAUACCGUGUGCGCGCGGCAAAUAGCAGCAUACGCCUAUUUUUGGAGGGUGCCUCGCCUAUUUUUGGAGGGU